Molecule: transfer RNA, 82 nt
Filed under: Ectobacillus ponti
Lineage: Bacteria; Bacillati; Bacillota; Bacilli; Caryophanales; Bacillaceae
Rfam family: tRNA
About the family: Transfer RNA (tRNA) molecules are approximately 80 nucleotides in length. Their secondary structure includes four short double-helical elements and three loops (D, anti-codon, and T loops). Further hydrogen bonds mediate the characteristic L-shaped molecular structure. tRNAs have two regions of fundamental functional importance: the anti-codon, which is responsible for specific mRNA codon recognition, and the 3' end, to which the tRNAs corresponding amino acid is attached (by aminoacyl-tRNA synthetases). tRNAs cope with the degeneracy of the genetic code in two manners: having more than one tRNA (with a specific anti-codon) for a particular amino acid; and 'wobble' base-pairing, i.e. permitting non-standard base-pairing at the 3rd anti-codon position.
Source: Rfam by way of RNAcentral
GCCGGUGUGGCGGAAUUGGCAGACGCGCACGACUCAAAAUCGUGUUCUUACGAGAGUGCCGGUUCGACCCCGGCCAUCGGUA